RNAcentral lists this unclassified non-coding RNA (3061 nucleotides) under Hevea brasiliensis (rubber tree). Lineage: Eukaryota; Viridiplantae; Streptophyta; Magnoliopsida; Malpighiales; Euphorbiaceae. The record is from RNAcentral.
UUUUAACCUAAAAUUAGAAAGCGUUAAGAUUCUAUUGGAAAACAACACACAGAGCUAUCAACAAAUAUAGGAUAAAUUACAACUAAAUCCCUGAGCUAUAGCAAGUCAGUUCCUGGUUUGUUUUAUGAUUUGCUCUUAAUUUGUCAAUGAAGUUUAUAUUUGAUAAUCAAAUAGUUACUCAAAAACAAAUUAGGGAUUGACUUGUGGAUUUUAUUAUACCUCAGGACUUGGUUGUAAUUUACCUAAAAAUAUAUUAUACAAAGACACACACUACUAUAGACAUUAAAGUUUCAUAGAACCAGUAAGUAACAUACAUAUACUUGUAUGGUAAGAUGUAGAGUGCAACCCAUACACGUAAAACAAAAUAACAAUAAGAACUCACAAGGACAUGAGUGCACGAAGAUCAUCUACUCUAACCUCAUGCGCUUUUGCCCCCCGCCUUCCAAAAGCUUCCUUUGCCAGCUUCUUCUUCCUUUCCUGCAUCUCUAAUAUCCUUUCCUCAAUGCUGUUUCGAGCAAUCAACCUUACAAUCGUUACCUCCUCCUUCUGUCCAAUUCUGUGGACACGGUCCAUAGCCUGUUCCUCAACUGCUGGGUUCCACCAUGGCUCCAACAAAUACACUUUAGAAGCGGCUGCAAGGUUUAUACCAGCUCCUGAAGCCUUGAGACUUGCAAGCAGAACGUUGGGUCCACCAGGUCCCGGCACUCCAAAUUCUUUUAUUACUUGAGCCCUCUUUUUUGCAUUCAUUGAUCCAUCUAAACGCAAGAUCUUGAAUCCUGCUGCUUUUAGUGGCUCCUCAAGUAAUACCAACAUCUUCUGGAAUUGAGAAAAAACAACCGACUUUGCAGUUGGAUCUUUAAUUCUCACAGCUAUGAGGAGUCUUAUGAGGGUAGAGACCUUGGAAGAGUCAGUUGACCUUGAAGAAGAAAUUUCAGUGUGAGAAGAUUCAGGAGGGGCUGAGAACAGGUCAGACAUUGUCAGAGAACGGCGACAAAGUGGACAGCAGGGCUUCAUACGCUGCAGGGUUUUCAGAAUGCAGGGUCGGCAAAAUAUGUGAGCACAGCGUGUAAUUACAGUAUCAGUUGGUGGACAAAUGCAGAUUGGGCAGUCAAAAUCUUCACCAUCUUGUAGCACAGCAACCACUUUUUCAAGCAACUCAGUGUUAUUGGAUACAUCUGCUUCAAUGCAUUUAGAAGGGAGAAGCGACCUCAGAUCUGAAGGGCACAAUGCCAGAUUAUUACAUAUCUGCCGAAGUCGUAAAAUGAUGCAAAGUAUAGUUGAAUAGUUGGUCGUUAGACUACCAGCAUUAAUAAAACCUUGGAUAACACCCUUGGCUUCCCCUUCCAUCUGGUCAUACAAUUCACGUUCUUCACCAGAAAGUUCAAUGUAGUGUGUCUCUACAGUUUUAGACGGCAAUCCAACCAAACCCUUGUCCUUUGUUCUCCGCAAAGAUAUUGUUGCCAUUAAAACCUGCAGUCGCGAGAGCCCCUUCUUAUCCCCCUGAGCAAGGGGCCGUUGAACCAGGCUUUGCCAAUAGUUCUUGAUGGAAAAUGGCUCAAACCGCAAAAAUGCCAUCAAGGAAAACAAAUCAAAGGAUCCAUUCUGUAUGGGUGUUCCUGUAACAACCCAUCUCCGCUUAGCCUUCAAAUUAGUAACUGCUCGACUUUGUUGUGCAUUUGCAUUCUUAAUGACAUGUGCCUCAUCCAAAAUGACUCUCCACCACUCAAUCAUCUUCACAGGGGAGUCUUCCCAAGAGCCUUCACUAGCCAAAGUACUAUAUGUUGUCAACACUAUAUCUUGCUUCUUAAGCUCCUCAGCUUCUCUAGUCCUUUCACCAUAAUACAUGUAUACCUUGAAUGAUCCACGUUGAGUAUGCUCUUCUAGCUGCGUUACCCAUGAUGAAAAUACAGCGGGAGGGCACACAAUUAAAGUCGUCUUUGCACCUAAAAUACUAAAAGACUUAUCAGUUCCACCCACAGACUUCCCUUUUGCAUUGAUAUCCAAAUGGGCGCCUUCCGUUUUAUGCUUUUUUCGUCCUCGAGUCCCCUUUGCACUCACCCUACGCCUCUUACCCUUCUUAUCGCUAAAAACAGUGGAUCCCUCAUCUAACUCACAUGUUCCUUCUCCAAUAUUGUCUCUAUCAAGGGUGGCACUAUUAUCAGCUCUAUCAAAAGCAAUCAAAGAGAGCAAAGUUAAAGUCUUGCCCAAUCCCAUGUCAUCUGCAAGAAUCCCACCACGCAAUGGCUCUGGCCUCUUAUCUGUAUGAUAAUUGGUCAAAACAUUUACAUAUUCCCCAUCUUUCUCCUCCCAAAAGGGUGGUAAUUCGCCAGAAUUCUCUCUAUUCAUAAGCCACCAUAAUCCCUCCUUUUGGUGAACAAAGAGCUCAGACUUAAUCAUCUCCUUGGGUGGCUCCAAAGUCCCAAUUUUUCCUUUCUUAUUCACAUUGUCAUCUACUAGCUUAAAUAUUUCGUCCACACUUUUAGAAUCACUUUUUUUGCACUUCUCUUUAACCACCAUAGCCUCUGAUAACCCAAAACUCGCAUCCGUUUCCGAAAUCAAAACCAAACCACCACGGAAAAUGGCGGAUUUUACGACCUCAAUAUCCUCAAACCUAGCAAAAAUAUGAAUUUGACAAGGAAUCCUAAACUUAUUACCACUACUACGCGAAUUGGCGACAACACCUUCGACAGUAAUUUUGUGAGAGUCGAUUAGUGGAGAAAGCACAGCGGCAACUGACCUUUCAAUGUGGCCCACUUGAAGGGAUCUUGUAUUGAGGACUUUGAUAGCGUUCUGAUCAUAAACAUUCAGUGGUUCACGGACCAAACCCACCAAUUCGCGACCAGUGAUCGUGCCAGAGUAGUAGCGGAUACCCACUAUAUUAGCGAUAACGAAGCCAACCAUGUAUGUUUCCGUGGAGGAUUGAGAAGAGGAGUCUUGCCAAUCAUCGAGAGACAUGAAGAGGGCAACUGGGUCUUGCUCUUCUUCAAAUUCCAUGAAAACGAGAGCGAGAGAGAGAGAGAGUUGAGCGUUGGGGUCGGUGUGCUGUGGGUUGAGAGAGAGA